CACACAACAGAUGCAAUUUUCUGUUUUGGGAGUCGCAGUUCAAAACGAGUCGCAAACUAAAGCCCUCAUCCACGCUAUCGGAUAAAGCCUCUACUACAAAUCGCCGACAACACAAUGGGACGUGCAAUUCUUUCUCCCUUUCUCCUCCUCUCCAACUCCCCUCCUCGCCUGUCUUCUUCACUUAGGUCGCUCGCUGGAUUUCGAAGAGAAUAUCUGCGAAGUUCGAGGCUAAUUCGUAGAAAUGCAAGAUGCUUUACUGGUUUCCGUUGCCACUGCAGUGUCUCACUUUCGGAGCCCGCUGCUCCGGAGAGUUCUUCGAGCUCUGUAAAGAAGAGAAUAGUUUCAGGAGUCCAGCCAACGGGAUCUAUUCACCUGGGGAAUUAUCUUGGUGCUAUAAAAAAUUGGAUAGCUCUUCAGAAUACAUAUGAGACUCUCUUCUUCAUUGUCGACCUCCACGCGAUUACAUUACCAUAUGAAACACAACAAUUGUUGAGGUCUACGAGGGAGACAGCAGCAAUUUAUUUGGCAUGUGGUGUUGACACUUCCAAGGCUUCUGUAUUUGUGCAGUCUCAUGUUCGUGCUCAUGUAGAACUAAUGUGGCUUCUAAGUUCUGCUACACCAAUUGGUUGGCUGAAUAGGAUGAUCCAGUUUAAAGAGAAAUCCCGAAAAGCUGGUGAUGAAAACGUUGGGGUUGCUCUUUUGACUUAUCCUGUUUUGAUGGCAUCUGAUAUACUUCUGUAUCAGUCUGACUUUGUACCAGUUGGUGAGGAUCAAAAGCAACAUCUGGAAUUGACCCGUGAGAUAGCUGAGCGCAUUAAUUAUUUAUAUGGAGGAAGAAGGUGGAAGAAAUUAGGAGGGCGAGGAGGUGCUAUCUUUAAGGUUCCUGAGCCCCUUAUACCACCUGCUGGAGCCCGAGUUAUGUCUUUGACAGAUGGUCUUGCCAAGAUGUCCAAGUCUGCACCUUCUGACCAAUCUCGAAUCAAUCUUCUUGACUCAAAGGAUGUGAUAGCAAACAAGAUAAAACGAUGCAAAACAGAUUCAUUUUCGGGCCUAGAAUUUGAUAACCCUGAAAGACCUGAAUGCAACAAUCUUCUUUCAGUAUAUCAACUUAUCUCAGGCAAGACAAAAGAGGAAGUUAAGCAGGAAUGUCAAGAUAUGAAUUGGGGCAUGUUCAAACCUCUCCUAACAGAUGCCUUAAUUGACCAUCUACAUCCUAUCCAGGUUCGUUAUGGAGAAAUAAUAUCAGAUUCAGCUUAUUUGGAUAAAGUCCUAGAAGAAGGUGCUACUAAAGCUGCAGAGAUAGCAGAUGCCACUCUCAAUAAUGCAUACCAGGCAAUGGGAUUCUUGCGGAGGAGAUGAGCAGAAUUGAUGCAAGAGGAAAAAAUUCAUAAGAUACCUGUACACGGCAACCUUAAAGUUAAUUUUGGAGGAUCAAUCAUUGCCCAAAAUUAUUUGGAGAGAAUACUUUAUUGAGAAAUCCCCACAAUUUUUUUCCAUGAUACAGCUGCCUCUACCUCUCAUCAAGACAGGUCCUCUUUUAUUCUCUGUUGAUUGUUGAACUUGCUAAUGUUAUGCUACAAAUUCUCCAUGGUAUGACUGCCAUAUACUGGUAAUCUUAUGUUGAUUUUAUCUUUCUCCA
Manihot esculenta (cassava) is the source of this 1639-nucleotide RNA transcript. It is a transcript of the gene named tryptophan--tRNA ligase, chloroplastic/mitochondrial, with no coding region annotated. Lineage: Eukaryota; Viridiplantae; Streptophyta; Magnoliopsida; Malpighiales; Euphorbiaceae. The transcript is spliced from 16 exons. The record is from RefSeq and is a predicted model, not a curated record.